RNAcentral lists this small RNA (810 nucleotides) under Pan troglodytes (chimpanzee). Its description in RNAcentral is "retained intron". The record is from RNAcentral. Lineage: Eukaryota; Metazoa; Chordata; Mammalia; Primates; Hominidae.
CUGGCCCUGGAAGCUCACUCCGGCUCUGUCGCUGCAGAAUGAAUGGAACGCCUACUAUGAGGAGGUGGUGUACGUCCUAGAGGAGAUCGAGUACAUGAUCCAGAAGCUCCCUGAGUGGGCCGCGGAUGAGCCCGUGGAGAAGACGCCCCAGACUCAGCAGGACGAGCUCUACAUCCACUCGGAGCCACUGGGCGUGGUCCUCGUCAUUGGCACCUGGAACUACCCCUUCAACCUCACCAUCCAGCCCAUGGUGGGCGCCAUCGCUGCAGGGAACGCAGUGGUCCUCAAGCCCUCGGAGCUGAGUGAGAACAUGGCGAGCCUGCUGGCUACCAUCAUCCCCCAGUACCUGGACAAGGAUCUGUACCCAGUAAUCAAUGGGGGUGUCCCUGAGACCACGGAGCUGCUCAAGGAGAGGUUCGACCAUAUCCUGUACACGGGCAGCACGGGGGUGGGGAAGAUCAUCAUGACGGCUGCUGCCAAGCACCUGACCCCUGUCACGCUGGAGCUGGGAGGGAAGAGUCCCUGCUACGUGGACAAGAACUGUGACCUGGACGUGGCCUGCCGUCCAGUCUGGGAUUUUCACAGACGCAUCGCCUGGGGGAAAUUCAUGAACAGUGGCCAGACCUGCGUGGCCCCUGACUACAUCCUCUGUGACCCCUCGAUCCAGAACCAAAUUGUGGAGAAGCUCAAGAAGUCACUGAAAGAGUUCUACGGGGAAGAUGCCAAGAAAUCCCGGGACUAUGGAAGAAUCAUUAGUGCCCGGCACUUCCAGAGGGUGAUGGGCCUGAUUGAGGGCCAGAAGGUGGCUUA